This 24-nucleotide small nuclear RNA is filed under the name Arabidopsis thaliana (thale cress). RNAcentral's name for it is "snRNA_14061". The record is from RNAcentral. Lineage: Eukaryota; Viridiplantae; Streptophyta; Magnoliopsida; Brassicales; Brassicaceae.
UCUUAAAUGACCGCUACACUGCUU